AACAAACGCUGGCGGCGUGCCUAAUACAUGCAAGUCGAACGAGGAAAGCUUUCGGGUGAGUACUAGUGGCGCACGGGUGAGGAAUAUAUGGGUAAUCUGCCCUCGAGUUGGGGAUAACCAGUCGAAAGACUGGCUAAUACCGAAUAAGACCACAGGAUCUGCGGAUCUAGGGGUUAAAGGUUUUUCGCUUGAGGAUGAGCCCAUACGGGAUUAGCUAGUUGGCGAGGUAAUGGCUCACCAAGGCUACGAUCCCUAACUGGUCUUAGAGGAUGAUCAGUCACACUGGAACUGAGACACGGUCCAGACUCCUACGGGAGGCAGCAGUAGGGAAUAUUGCACAAUGGGGGAAACCCUGAUGCAGCGACGCCGCGUGAGUGAUGGAGGCCUUCGGGUCGUAAAGCUCUGUCGUAUGGGACUAACACAAUGAAGGUACCAUGCAAGAAAGGAUCGGCUAACUUCGUGCCAGCCGCCGCUGUAA
This 478-nucleotide ribosomal RNA is filed under the name uncultured bacterium. RNAcentral's name for it is "partial 16S ribosomal RNA". It matches the Rfam family "Bacterial small subunit ribosomal RNA", at positions 29 to 523 of the family's 1533-position model. The record is from RNAcentral.